This 253-nucleotide ribosomal RNA is filed under the name uncultured bacterium. RNAcentral describes it as "partial 16S ribosomal RNA". It matches the Rfam family "Bacterial small subunit ribosomal RNA", at positions 524 to 776 of the family's 1533-position model. The record is from RNAcentral.
UACGAAGGGGGCUAGCGUUGCUCGGAAUUACUGGGCGUAAAGCGCACGUAGGCGGCUUUCUAAGUCGGGGGUGAAAUCCUGGAGCUCAACUCCAGAACUGCCCUUGAUACUGAGGAUCUUGAGUUCGGGAGAGGUGAGUGGAACUGCGAGUGUAGAGGUGAAAUUCGUAGAUAUUCGCAAGAACACCAGUGGCGAAGGCGGCUCACUGGCCCGAUACUGACGCUGAGGCACGAAAGCGUGGGGAGCAAACAGG